AGGCUGAGACCCCAGCAUCCAUAAGUCAGACACCUUCUUCCUCUGUGGGUUCUCCAAGAAGUACAAAUUCAUCUGUAGAAGGGGGAAAAGAAGUGAGCCGUCACCAUGAGUACGGACGCGGAGAUGCAAAUCUACGGCAAGGCUGCCAUAUACCUCCGUAAGCCUGAGAAGGAGAGGAUGGAGGCACAAACCGCACCGUUUGAUUCAAAGAACGCCUGCUAUGGCAGACACCAAGG
This is a long non-coding RNA of Coregonus clupeaformis (lake whitefish), 236 nucleotides long. RefSeq lists it as uncharacterized. The transcript is spliced from 3 exons. The record is from RefSeq and is a predicted model, not a curated record. Lineage: Eukaryota; Metazoa; Chordata; Actinopteri; Salmoniformes; Salmonidae.